GUUCAUUUGCGGAUGAGAACAUUCAAAUAGGCUGAAGAGCUCACACUUCUGAUCAAAACAACUUCUAAUAUGAAGAUAAGCCAGCUGAUGAGACAGAAGGAGCUGGAGAAAAGCUGUCAGCGAUCACAUCUAGAAAACGAAACGUUGGUGUGUAUACUCGUACGUCAAGGAAUUGAACAUUUUGCAGCGCCUGUCCCAUACGUACCAUUUGUCACUGUUUGGGCAAGGAGGCCUUGAGGAGGACAAGCAAAUAUUUGCCUCAGUUUCCUUGGAGGCUUUGACUCUGUCAGCGGUUUCUGAAGUUGCCUUGCACAAUUGUGCAACAGAGCGGUUUCUUCUGUUUGUGCAUUUCCAUCUGUACCUUUGCAGUCCAAGACAGUUACCUCCUGAGUUAAAAACAAUAAGCUUUCUCUGAA
This is a long non-coding RNA of Mauremys reevesii (Reeves's turtle), 416 nucleotides long. RefSeq lists it as uncharacterized. The transcript is spliced from 2 exons. The record is from RefSeq and is a predicted model, not a curated record. Lineage: Eukaryota; Metazoa; Chordata; Testudines; Geoemydidae.